This 557-nucleotide long non-coding RNA is filed under the name Homo sapiens (human). Its description in RNAcentral is "small nucleolar RNA host gene 14". Lineage: Eukaryota; Metazoa; Chordata; Mammalia; Primates; Hominidae. The record is from RNAcentral.
GGGCAGGGAGCCCCUUGACAUGUGGAAUGUGAUCUCUGUUGGGUGCUGGUGGAUCCCACAGGUGGUCUGGCAUGGAAGAAGGCCAGAGGCUGCGAUGGAUCAUCUUUGUCUUGGGAGAUUCCUGGAGAUGGUGGGGAGCCCCUGGGCACGUGCAGCAUAUGUGGCGUGGGCUUCUUCAGGUGCUGGUGGAUCCCUCAGGAUGCUUUUCAAGGUUUUUCUAUGAGUUCUGUUAAAGAGUCUGAAAAUGGAGCGUAGAAGACAUGCUUCGAUUUCCAGGAUGGUUGUGUUUUCCAGAGAGGCGGAGGUAAACCACUGGCGCAGCCCUGCCUCCCACAGAUAAUUCCGGGUGCAGUGUUUCAUAUCUAGACUUGGACUUCUAUCCUACCAUACUUCUUUGUGUGCAGGCCAUGUUUUCGCAGGCAGUCUUGCUAUCAGAGCUGAGGGGAUGCUGUUUUGAUCACUUAGUUUAUCUGAUGUUGCUGGGCCUCCAACUGGUGCUGACUGGUACUUCCUGAGAUGGCGAAGGUUUUUCUGUACUCUGAGAUGCCGUGUAUCUC